UAACAAUCCUUCGGGUGCGUUAAUGGGCGUCGAGCGGCGGACGGGUGAGUAAUGCCUAGGAAAUUGCCUUGAUGUGGGGGAUAACCAUUGGAAACGAUGGCUAAUACCGCAUGAUGCCUACGGGCCAAAGAGGGGGACCUUCGGGCCUCUCGCGUCAAGAUAUGCCUAGGUGGGAUUAGCUAGUUGGUGAGGUAAUGGCUCACCAAGGCGACGAUCCCUAGCUGGUCUGAGAGGAUGAUCAGCCACACUGGAACUGAGACACGGUCCAGACUCCUACGGGAGGCAGCAGUGGGGAAUAUUGCACAAUGGGCGAAAGCCUGAUGCAGCCAUGCCGCGUGUAUGAAGAAGGCCUUCGGGUUGUAAAGUACUUUCAGUUGUGAGGAAGGGUGUGUAGUUAAUAGCUGCGCAUCUUGACGUUAGCAACAGAAGAAGCACCGGCUAACUCCGUGCCAGCAGCCGCGGUAAUACGGAGGG
RNAcentral lists this ribosomal RNA (474 nucleotides) under Vibrio cyclitrophicus ZF205. RNAcentral describes it as "bacterial SSU rRNA". It matches the Rfam family "Bacterial small subunit ribosomal RNA", at positions 70 to 532 of the family's 1533-position model. Lineage: Bacteria; Pseudomonadati; Pseudomonadota; Gammaproteobacteria; Vibrionales; Vibrionaceae. The record is from RNAcentral.